CAUUUUCAAACCUAAAAUCAGCAAGCUUUUAUUUUGGCGGGUUGCUGGCAAGUAAGUAUAUGCUCUGGUAUAUUUUAUCUAUAAUUUUU
This is a long non-coding RNA of Sinocyclocheilus rhinocerous, 89 nucleotides long. RefSeq lists it as uncharacterized. The record is from RefSeq and is a predicted model, not a curated record. The transcript has 4 exons. NCBI's taxonomy places the organism in Eukaryota, Metazoa, Chordata, Actinopteri, Cypriniformes, Cyprinidae.